CCUGAGAAACCCAAAAGAUCGAAUGGGGAGAUUCAUCGUCAGCUGCUUUGGCUUCCGUGUGGUGUGCGAUGAUCGGAGCCUUGUGUUCUGUGUCACGCGCCCGCUGCGGCAUGUCCAAAGUGGUCGGCGUGCACUUCUCCCCUAGUAGGACGUCGCGACCCGUUGGGUGUUGGUCUACGGUCCGGUAGGUCGACUGGCGCGACACGUUCACGCGUGCACGCGUCAGACCUCUGGUUGCCCGACCAACUGCCCGGCGGUAAAGAACGAUAAUUAAACGGUAUUGGGCCGCAUUAAGUGCGUUCAGGCUCGUCGGCAGGCUCGCCUCGCUCGGAUUUACGGACCUAGUGCCGUUGCCGGGUGCUUGGUGUGACUGUUGGCCGACGAUGUCCUCGGACUGGCUCAUUAUAUUCGAACGGAUAUACCGGUCGGCGACGCUACUGCUUUGGGUACUUUCAGGACCCGUCUUGAAACACGGACCAAGGAGUCUAACAUGUGCGCGAGUCAUUGGGUCAAUUAAAGCCUAAAGGCGCAAUGAAAGUGAAGGUCGUCCUUUGCGUCGAUCGAGGGAGGAUGGCUCGCGUCACGAUGCGAGCCCGCACUCCCGGGGCGUCUCGUGCUCAUCGCGAGCAGAGGCGCACCCAGAGCGUACA
This 650-nucleotide ribosomal RNA is filed under the name Encarsia sp. MS-2002. Its description in RNAcentral is "eukaryotic LSU rRNA". It matches the Rfam family "Eukaryotic large subunit ribosomal RNA", at positions 420 to 806 of the family's 3401-position model. Lineage: Eukaryota; Metazoa; Arthropoda; Insecta; Hymenoptera; Aphelinidae. The record is from RNAcentral.